This 732-nucleotide ribosomal RNA is filed under the name uncultured Streptococcus sp. RNAcentral's name for it is "bacterial SSU rRNA". It matches the Rfam family "Bacterial small subunit ribosomal RNA", at positions 62 to 779 of the family's 1533-position model. Lineage: Bacteria; Bacillati; Bacillota; Bacilli; Lactobacillales; Streptococcaceae. The record is from RNAcentral.
UAGAACGCUGAAGGAGGAGCUUGCUCUUCUGGAUGAGUUGCGAACGGGUGAGUAACGCGUAGGUAACCUGCCUGGUAGCGGGGGAUAACUAUUGGAAACGAUAGCUAAUACCGCAUAACAGUAGAUGUUGCAUGACAUUUGCUUAAAAGGUGCAAUUGCAUCACUACCAGAUGGACCUGCGUUGUAUUAGCUAGUUGGUGGGGUAACGGCUCACCAAGGCGACGAUACAUAGCCGACCUGAGAGGGUGAUCGGCCACACUGGGACUGAGACACGGCCCAGACUCCUACGGGAGGCAGCAGUAGGGAAUCUUCGGCAAUGGACGGAAGUCUGACCGAGCAACGCCGCGUGAGUGAAGAAGGUUUUCGGAUCGUAAAGCUCUGUUGUAAGAGAAGAACGAGUGUGAGAGUGGAAAGUUCACACUGUGACGGUAUCUUACCAGAAAGGGACGGCUAACUACGUGCCAGCAGCCGCGGUAAUACGUAGGUCCCGAGCGUUGUCCGGAUUUAUUGGGCGUAAAGCGAGCGCAGGCGGUUAGAUAAGUCUGAAGUUAAAGGCUGUGGCUUAACCAUAGUACGCUUUGGAAACUGUUUAACUUGAGUGCAAGAGGGGAGAGUGGAAUUCCAUGUGUAGCGGUGAAAUGCGUAGAUAUAUGGAGGAACACCGGUGGCGAAAGCGGCUCUCUGGCUUGUAACUGACGCUGAGGCUCGAAAGCGUGGGGAGCAAACAGGAUU